This 23-nucleotide non-coding RNA is filed under the name Arabidopsis thaliana (thale cress). Lineage: Eukaryota; Viridiplantae; Streptophyta; Magnoliopsida; Brassicales; Brassicaceae. The record is from RNAcentral.
UUGCGGGAACUGCUGGAGCUACA